Hemicordylus capensis (graceful crag lizard) is the source of this 2511-nucleotide long non-coding RNA. RefSeq lists it as uncharacterized. The record is from RefSeq and is a predicted model, not a curated record. Lineage: Eukaryota; Metazoa; Chordata; Lepidosauria; Squamata; Cordylidae. The transcript has 5 exons.
GCUACUCUACAUAAGAGGUGAAGGCCCGAGAGCAUAGCAAACAGAGCAUAGCGACAGGGAUAGCAAACAGGAUGUAGGAGUUUUGCAGGAGUUUAGUGGGAAGUGUGCGGGGAAGCCUGGAACAAGCCCCUGCGAUCACAAGGAUCACAAGGAGCCUGGUGGAGAAGAGAACGUUGGACCACAUGGCCUUGAAGGAGAGGUAGAAAAGCUUUUAAUGCCAGGAACACAACUAGAAGAUGUAAGAAGUUGAAGUGUAAGCGAGACCACAAUCCCUGCACUCGGUGUUUCCCACAAUGAGUUCCCCAUCUUGUCAGAGAAGCAUCUAUGGUGACCCAGAUUGAUGGAGUUGGAAUCUGCAGAAGGAUACUGGUUUAGCCAUGGUCUGGCAAACUAAUCAAAGAUGCUGCUUAGAUGUCUCAGGUUGUUUGUUACAAUCGUGUUGUCAGUUUCAUCGCUGAAGAGGCCUUUCCCAUCAAAAGAAGUUAUAUGACGUCACACAAUCUAUCACCGAAGAAUUGCAGACAGGAUGCUAGCAAACUCACAAAAAAGGGAAAAAAAAAUUUCUGAACUGAAGAGAAGCCAAACGAUGAGGUCUUGACACUGAAGCGGAACUGGCAAAAUGAAGCCCAAGCCUCCUCAUAUCGGGCAUGCCGAGUACGUGAUGCAGAACGCAGGUGUGACACAAGGAGCUAUAGCAUUCCACCUGCGAGAUCAUGCGCAGAACCCCAUACUUAUGGAUGGCCAAUGGAUCAUGAUCCAGAUCUACCAAAUACUCCAGCUAUCAAAUUCCUAGAGCUUAUGUCUGAAGCUAAACUCAUAAAGAAAUCACACAACCUGAACUAAGCAACAUUUCUCAAAUGCAGCCAGUUUAUUGAGAAAUAGCUUCAAAUGUCACAUCCCUCUCCUCCAAGCCUCCACGAGGAGAAAUAUGCUGCAGAUUAAAAGUGGCUGCUUGGGAUGCAAGACAGGAUGGAAGAGGCUAAGAAGUAGGAAAGGCUGAGAGAAAAGGGAUACACAAGCAUAAGAGAGUAAGAAUAGCAAGUCAAGUCUGGGGAAUCAAGCACCGACAGAAACAAAGGUUGGGAAGGAUUUAAGUUCUGGUUCUGGUUCUUAGAUUAAUGUAAUGAAUAGAGAUGCUGAGUAGUGGAAAUAGCCAUUUACAGACUUGUGUGAAGAAGAAACAACCAGAUAUUUUGGAACAUACACAAAAGUUUACAUUUACAUCCUAUUUGUAAGGAAACUCUAUUAUGUAUAGCAGCUCUCGGGCUCUAUGUUUCAGAGUGAAAUGCAUCAAGCAUCUUGCUGAUUUCCUUUGCAUGAUGAGGUUUUGCUAUCUGCAUGGCUAGAGUGUAAUAUGCACUGGAUAGCAGAAUAUUCUCCAAAUGAAUCAAGGAGUCUCCACUCUCCUUAAAGAACAUUAUCUCUAACCAGGAAGAAAAGCUUGUAGGAAAUAAAGCUUGAAACACUUCUGCUAAGGCAAUGGUUCCCAAACUUUGAUAGGUGGCAUACCCCUCAUGACACCUCAGACAACUGCAAGUACUGCCCCCACCACCUCACACUCACUCUCUUUGUGCAAGGAUGGAUCAUCUCAACAGUUAAGCAACAUAGAAGAGAGGGGCUUGAAACAGAUAGUGGCUGGCCUGUAGGGAAAUACAAGGUGCCCCUGGGGAAGUCCUCAAGUAUCACCCAGGGAUAAAAACCACAAUUUUGGAAUAAUUGCACUAAGGUGUUGGAAUGCAAGCCAUUCAAACUGGACUUCAGUGGUUAAAAGGUGCAAAUGUUUUAAUUUGUGCAGUUCUAGCCUGACAUGCCAUGAAUUCCAACUUGUAUUGUUCAAUCCUUAAACAUAUUCAGAGACAAAGUCUAAGCUUGGUUUCAUAGCCAAAGUAUGAGAUAUGCAGUCUUACAUACAUGUAGUUCACUGGCAUGUUUCAAUCAUGCUGGGCUUCCAGUGUAGUGUGCCUUUUUCUCCAGAAAAAAAUACAUAGAUAUAUACAGUACAUAUAUAAAAGCUUUGUUGCUCAAUGUCAAAAGGCCACCACAAUCCAUCUCCAGGAGGCCCACACAAUCUGAAAAGGUCCAGCAUGAACAGGGUUGGGGUGGAAAGCUGAGGCAAUCAAUUUCCUCAAUUUCACUUGCCUUCUCUCCUCCUAUAGGUCAGUGGAUCCCACUGAUUUUAUGGGAAAGGUCUAUGUGGCUACAAUGGAGAAUAACCUUUUUUCCUUUAAAGGAAAAAGGAAGCGAAUUAUCAUCAGGCCUGUGUUAUCGGAGAACAAAGUGACAUUAUCUGUGUUACUUAUGUUAAUUGUGAUAUUAUCUCAUCACAGGAUCUGCCUUUCUUAAGAACAGAACUUUGGCCUCCCUUAUUAGAUUAUAGGGACUUUGUUUUGCUUAAUACAUUUUCAAUAGUCACCUAUAGUAAGAAAUAUUAAUUUUUUAUUUUAUUUUCUAUGAACUCCAUCGCAUACACACAGUACUUCAAACCAGUGUAUGAGUAUUCUUACCAGCACU